CCUACGGGUGGCAGCAGUGGGGAAUAUUGGACAAUGGGCGAAAGCCUGAUCCAGCCAUGCCGCGUGUGUGAAGAAGGCCUUCGGGUUGUAAAGCACUUUCAGUGGGGAAGAAAGCCUUGGGGCUAAUACCCUCGAGGAAGGACAUCACCCACAGAAGAAGCACCGGCUAACUCCGCGCCAGCAGCCGCGGUAAUACGGAGGGUGCGAGCGUUAAUCGGAAUUACUGGGCGUAAAGCGCGCGUAGGCGGUCUGAUAAGCCGGUUGUGAAAGCCCCGGGCUCAACCUGGGAACGGCAUCCGGAACUGUCAGGCUAGAGUGCAGGAGAGGAAGGUAGAAUUCCCGGUGUAGCGGUGAAAUGCGUAGAGAUCGGGAGGAAUACCAGUGGCGAAGGCGGCCUUCUGGACUGACACUGACGCUGAGGUGCGAAAGCGUGGGUAGCAAACAGGAUUAGAUACCCCUGUAGUC
This 465-nucleotide ribosomal RNA is filed under the name Vreelandella stevensii. Its description in RNAcentral is "partial 16S ribosomal RNA". It matches the Rfam family "Bacterial small subunit ribosomal RNA", at positions 338 to 795 of the family's 1533-position model. The record is from RNAcentral. Lineage: Bacteria; Pseudomonadati; Pseudomonadota; Gammaproteobacteria; Oceanospirillales; Halomonadaceae.